GAUGAAGAACGUAGCGAAAUGUGAUAAGUAAUGUGAAUUGCAGAAUUCAGUGAAUCAUCGAAUCUUUGAACGCACAUUGCGCCCCUUGGUAUUCCGAGGGGCAUGCCUGUUCGAGCGUCAUAUUAACCACUCCCGCUUGCGGGGUCUUGGGCUUCGCCUCCGGGCGGGCCUUAAAAUCAGUGGCGGUGCCGUCGGGCUCUACGCGUAGUAAAUUUUCUCGCGAUAGGGUCCCGGUGGAUGCUUGCCAACAACCCCCAACUUCUUAAGGUUGACCUCGGAUCAGGUAGGGAUACCCGCUGAACUUAAGCAUAUCAAUAAGCGGAGGA
This 326-nucleotide unclassified non-coding RNA is filed under the name soil metagenome. Its description in RNAcentral is "partial contains 5.8S ribosomal RNA, internal transcribed spacer 2, and large subunit ribosomal RNA". The stretch from base 1 to 120 matches the Rfam family "5.8S ribosomal RNA", at positions 35 to 154 of the family's 154-position model. The record is from RNAcentral.